Molecule: ribosomal RNA, 110 nt
Filed under: Microcebus murinus (gray mouse lemur)
Lineage: Eukaryota; Metazoa; Chordata; Mammalia; Primates; Cheirogaleidae
Source: RNAcentral
GUCUAUGGCCAUACCACUUUGAAUGCACCUGAUCUCAGAAGCUAAGCAGGGUCAGGCCUGGUUAGUACUUGGGUGGGAGAACUUACUAGAAGGCACUGUUUUCGGAGCGC